UGAGGAAUAUUGGUCAAUGGGCGCAAGCCUGAACCAGCCAUGCCGCGUGCAGGAAGAAUGCCCUAUGGGUUGUAAACUGCUUUUAUUUAGGAAUAAACCCCUUUACGUGUAGAGGGCUGAAGGUACUAAAUGAAUAAGCACCGGCUAACUCCGUGCCAGCAGCCGCGGUAAUACGGAGGGUGCAAGCGUUAUCCGGAAUCAUUGGGUUUAAAGGGUCCGCAGGCGGGCGUAUAAGUCAGUGGUGAAAGCCCGUUGCUUAACAACGGAACUGCCAUUGAUACUGUAUGUCUUGAAUUCGGUCGAAGUGGGCGGAAUGUGUAGUGUAGCGGUGAAAUGCUUAGAUAUUACACAGAACACCGAUAGCGAAGGCAGCUCACUAGGCCUGAAUUGACGCUCAUGG
RNAcentral lists this ribosomal RNA (400 nucleotides) under uncultured bacterium. Its description in RNAcentral is "bacterial SSU rRNA". It matches the Rfam family "Bacterial small subunit ribosomal RNA", at positions 355 to 752 of the family's 1533-position model. The record is from RNAcentral.